This 72-nucleotide transfer RNA is filed under the name Camelus bactrianus (Bactrian camel). It matches the Rfam family "tRNA". From Rfam's summary of the family: Transfer RNA (tRNA) molecules are approximately 80 nucleotides in length. Their secondary structure includes four short double-helical elements and three loops (D, anti-codon, and T loops). Further hydrogen bonds mediate the characteristic L-shaped molecular structure. tRNAs have two regions of fundamental functional importance: the anti-codon, which is responsible for specific mRNA codon recognition, and the 3' end, to which the tRNAs corresponding amino acid is attached (by aminoacyl-tRNA synthetases). tRNAs cope with the degeneracy of the genetic code in two manners: having more than one tRNA (with a specific anti-codon) for a particular amino acid; and 'wobble' base-pairing, i.e. permitting non-standard base-pairing at the 3rd anti-codon position. The record is from Rfam by way of RNAcentral. RNAcentral also lists the same sequence under 2 other names. Lineage: Eukaryota; Metazoa; Chordata; Mammalia; Artiodactyla; Camelidae.
GAGGGUAGAGCUCAGUAGCAGAGCAUGUGCUUAGCAUGCACGAGGUCUUGGGUUCAAUCCCCAGUACCCCCA